GAGUUUGAUCCUGGCUCAGGAUGAACGCUAGCGGGAGGCCUAACACAUGCAAGCUGAGCGGUAGAGAUCUUUCGGGAUCUUGAGAGCGGCGUACGGGUGCGGAACACGUGUGCAACCUGCCUUUAUCAGGGGGAUAGCCUUUCGAAAGGAAGAUUAAUACCCCAUAAUAUUUUGAGUGGCAUCACUUGAAAUUGAAAACUGAAGUGGAUAAAGAUGGGCACGCGCAAGAUUAGAUAGUUGGUGAGGUAACGGCUCACCAAGUCGAUGAUCUUUAGGGGGCCUGAGAGGGUGAUCCCCCACACUGGUACUGAGACACGGACCAGACUCCUACGGGAGGCAGCAGUGAGGAAUAUUGGACAAUGGGUUAGCGCCUGAUCCAGCCAUCCCGCGUGAAGGACGACGGCCCUAUGGGUUGUAAACUUCUUUUGUACAGGGAUAAACCUACCCUCGUGAGGGUAGCUGAAGGUACUGUACGAAUAAGCACCGGCUAACUCCGUGCCAGCAGCCGCGGUAAUACGGAGGGUGCAAGCGUUAUCCGGAUUUAUUGGGUUUAAAGGGUCCGUAGGCGGAUGCGUAAGUCAGUGGUGAAAUCUCACAGCUCAACUGUGAAACUGCCAUUGAUACUGCGUGUCUUGAGUGAGGUUGAAGUAGCUGGAAUAAGUAGUGUAGCGGUGAAAUGCAUAGAUAUUACUUAGAACACCAAUUGCGAAGGCAGGUUACUAAGUCUCAACUGACGCUGAUGGACGAAAGCGUGGGGAGCGAACAGGAUUAGAUACCCUGGUAGUCCACGCUGUAAACGA
Molecule: ribosomal RNA, 800 nt
Filed under: uncultured Bacteroidota bacterium
Lineage: Bacteria; Pseudomonadati; Bacteroidota
Description: bacterial SSU rRNA
Rfam family: Bacterial small subunit ribosomal RNA
Source: RNAcentral